AUACGGAGGAUCCGAGCGUUAUCCGGAUUUAUUGGGUUUAAAGGGUGCGUAGGCGGCCUUUUAAGUCAGCGGUGAAAGUCUGUGGCUCAACCAUAGAAUUGCCGUUGAAACUGGGGGGCUUGAGUAUGUUUGAGGCAGGCGGAAUGCGUGGUGUAGCGGUGAAAUGCUUAGAUAUCACGCAGAACCCCGAUUGCGAAGGCUUCCGGCAAGGCCAUGACUGACGCUGAUGCACGAAAGCGUGGGGAUCAAACAGGAUUUGAUACCCUGGUAGUCCACGCAGUAAACGAUGAUCACUAGCUGUUUGCGAUACACUGUAAGCGGCACAGCGAAAGCGUUAAGUGAUCCACCUGGGGAGUACGCCGGCAACGGUGAAACUCAAAUGAAUUGACGGGG
This 393-nucleotide ribosomal RNA is filed under the name uncultured bacterium. RNAcentral describes it as "partial 16S ribosomal RNA". It matches the Rfam family "Bacterial small subunit ribosomal RNA", at positions 523 to 918 of the family's 1533-position model. The record is from RNAcentral.